RNAcentral lists this ribosomal RNA (491 nucleotides) under uncultured bacterium. RNAcentral describes it as "partial 16S ribosomal RNA". It matches the Rfam family "Bacterial small subunit ribosomal RNA", at positions 29 to 506 of the family's 1533-position model. The record is from RNAcentral.
AGUGAACGCUGGCGGUAGGCCUAACACAUGCAAGUCGAACGGCAGCACAGUAAGAGCUUGCUCUUACGGGUGGCGAGUGGCGGACGGGUGAGGAAUACAUCGGAAUCUACUUUUUCGUGGGGGAUAACGUAGGGAAACUUACGCUAAUACCGCAUACGACCUACGGGUGAAAGCAGGGGAUCUUCGGACCUUGCGCGAUUGAAUGAGCCGAUGUCGGAUUAGCUAGUUGGCGGGGUAAAGGCCCACCAAGGCGACGAUCCGUAGCUGGUCUGAGAGGAUGAUCAGCCAACCUGGAACUGAGACACGGUCCAGACUCCUACGGGAGGCAGCAGUGGGGAAUAUUGGAGAAUGAGCGCAAGCCUGAUCCAGCCAUACCGCGUGGGUGAAGAAGGCCUUCGGGUUGUAAAGCCCUUUUGUUGGGAAAGAAAAGCAGCAGGUUAAUACCCCGCUGUUCUGACGGUACCCAAAGAAUAAGCACCGGCUAACUUCGU